Suricata suricatta (meerkat) is the source of this 2358-nucleotide RNA transcript. It is a transcript of the gene named BH3 interacting domain death agonist, with no coding region annotated. The record is from RefSeq and is a predicted model, not a curated record. The transcript has 6 exons. NCBI's taxonomy places the organism in Eukaryota, Metazoa, Chordata, Mammalia, Carnivora, Herpestidae.
GCCGGCGGGAAAUAAAGGAAGUGGGCGAGCGGCGGCUGCGUACUCUGCGCGCCUCCAGGACUUUACCUCCGGCCGGCCUCGCCUGCUCUCCGGCCCCCGGUCCCCGCCACCCGUCUCUCGGCCUACUGCCGCGGCUGCUGGGUGGGUGAGUAGCCCCCCUACCGCGCGGGGCCGUCUGCGCGGAUCCGAAAGUUUAGGAGCCCGCACCUGCUCGCCGCCGGCCAGACCCCCCCAGGAACAGCCCCGGACCGCCUGCGCCCGAGGGCUGCUGACUUGGGACACCUCCCAAGCCGGAAGCAAGGCGAGCCCUGCAAGGCUGCUGGUGGCAUGGAUUCUCAGGUCAGCAAUGGUUCAGGCCUCCAGGACGAACGCAUCACGAACCUGCUGCUGUUCGGCUUCCUCCAAAACUGCUCCAACCACAAUUUCCACAGAGAGUUGGAGGUGUUGGGCCAUGAACUGCCUGUGCCGGCUUACCUGCAGGAGGACCUCAGUGACGAGCUCCAGACGGAUGGCAACCGGAGCAGCCGCUUCCUGGAUGACGAGGGGACAAAUUCUGAGAGUCAAGAGGAAAUCAUCCAAGAUAUCGCCAGGCAGCUUGCCCAAAUAGGGGACAGUAUGGAUCACAGCAUCCACCCAAGACUGGUGAAUAACCUGGCAAUGCAGUUUAUGAAUGUGAACCUGUCGGAAGAAUUUCCGUGUCCCCUGUGUUUACAUGCAGGAGAGAAGGGAGCACCUUGCUGCUACGCUGGAGCAGGUCCGGCAGACUUACCCGAAGGACAUGGAGAAGGAGAAGGCCACGCUCAUGUUGGCCAUGGUACUGGCCAAAAAGGUGGCCGAUCACACACCGUCCUUGCUCCGUGAUGUCUUUCGCACAACAGUGAACUUUAUUAACCAGAACCUACUCACAUAUGUGAGGAACUUGGUCAGAAAUGAGAUGGACUGAGUGGACAACUCUGCAAAAGUGCGACUAGUUAAAACUUGAUACGGUGACGACAGUACACCUGCUCCAGUGGAAGUGGGAGCCAUGGCUGUAUAAACAAAGUUCUUAGAGAAGACAGGCACGAAAUAACAGCUGUUUAUUUCUUACUGUUUUAAAGAUGAUGUUUUAAGCAGGUGAUCCAUUUAGAAAUUUUACCUUAACAUACUUGAAUGAAAAUGUAAACUUGCACAGAUUUGAAUGAGUUUCAUACCAACUUCUAAAUCCACUACACACUGUGCCUUUAUCUUAUUUCAGCUGUACGGGUCUUCACUUGAAAAUUAAAUUUAAGAACAGAUUGUAAGGCAGAAGAAAAAAAGACAAGGUUUUUGUUUGUUUGUUUAAGAAAAACUACUGUUUAUUAAAGAGCAACCUUGGGGUGUGGUCUGACAGCAGGCGGUGCUUGAGGAGAACGAGGUCUGGAGACCGAUGCACUCACUCGCAAAUGAAAAAUUCCUCUCCGCGUAGGGAACAUCUUAGCACGAAGGAAGUGACAGUCUUCCCCCCUGAAAACCAAACCGUAUAAGAGGUUCUGGACUAAAGUUCUGUACUCAAACAGUGGGGAAAUCAGGCCUCAAAUGUGAUUUUUUUCAACUCGAUUUCUUUUUGUGUCAAGAAGGACCAUAGACAAAUAAAAGGUGUGGAGGUCAUUUAAGGGCCCACAUCAACCACAGUUUCCAAAAUCAGGUAACUAAAUGCACCUUUUCUCUAAGGCUAGGUUCUGAUAGAUUUUUAAGCUGAUGGAGUACCAAAAGCUACUGUAUAUAGCCUAUGGGGAUGACUGUUAAUAAUCUUGUAUUUUCAUUUUUCUCCCAUAAUCCCUCAGCUCACCCUUGCCCAGGAAGCUACAUCUGAAGAAAACAGGUUUCUAGGCAUAAAAGAUGAAAGACUAGUUAGACUUUUAAAAAUUCAACAGUUGAAGUUGGUUCCCUUUCUUAGGGACACAGAAACCAAGUAAGAACAAAAGCACUUAGGUAGUGCCAAAAUAAACCAGGAAGAGCUUACAUUUAGCAACAGUGCAAUACUGGUCUUGUUCCCAGCAAUAAGCAUUUCCUGGGAUUCUGUUUAAAGGUACAGUGGUGGAUGCUGGGUCUUUAUUACACACGUUAAUGUUAGUGUUAGGCUUACCAGUAACACUUGUUACUGCGAAUCUGGGGAAGGAUAUGAACAAGAGUAAUAGGUAUUAAGAAAUAUUUUGUUACCAAAAACACUUUUCUGUUCCUUGAGAGUUUAGUCAGAAAAGAAACAUGACUGCAUUAUUCAGCAUUAAGUACAUACCACACUAGGGUUGGGCCUUGAUCUGCUAUCUGCAGUAUGUUGCAAAUACUAACAGCCAUGCAGUACAAAGGCCACUGUUUGGAAAUAAACUAGUAAUGCUGUUA